CCGGGUUCGUGUACGGGAACGCGUCGCUCGCGACGAGGUUGUGUCGCCGUACCUCGAUCGGGUCGCGUCCGAUGGCCCGGGC
RNAcentral lists this transfer RNA (82 nucleotides) under uncultured Acidimicrobiales bacterium. RNAcentral describes it as "tRNA-Ala". RNAcentral also lists the same sequence under 2 other names. Lineage: Bacteria; Bacillati; Actinomycetota; Acidimicrobiia; Acidimicrobiales. The record is from RNAcentral.